Molecule: long non-coding RNA, 1466 nt
Organism: Gymnodraco acuticeps
Lineage: Eukaryota; Metazoa; Chordata; Actinopteri; Perciformes; Bathydraconidae
Exons: 4
Source: RefSeq, a predicted model, not a curated record
AUGUACUUUCAUAUAGGGGAGAGCUGCAUGACAUGAUUUUUGAGCUGAAAUCAUCAUAAAUAGACUAAAUCUGAAUUCAUUUUCAUGAAUAAAGACAGGACAGUUUUUAUAGACAAAUACACGUUUUACUUUUGCAAAUUUAAAGUGCAAACAUGAAAAAUAACAAUACAAAGUGGCCAAAGUAGCGAACUGUCUUCUUGCACACAUCACAGUUCGCUAAGUUUUAAUGGCCAGUGAAACACAACGCUGCUCUUUCUCUCAGCCAUCAUGCGCGUGUGUGUGUUGCACUCGCGAGUCGCUGGCUGCUGCUGUCCUGCCCUGCUGGCUGCUGUCAGUCAGCUUGAUAAUCGGCGUUCAGACAGGGAGCCUCGAGGAGAAGAGGACAGCAGUGGAGAGAGAAGUAAAGAGCAUAUACUUGUGUUCGUCUGCACAUAGUUUUUUGAAGAAAUUGACGAGUAGAGGAGACGAGAAAAAAAGUAUAACAGUAUCGAUCCUAUUGGCUCUAGUAUCGAUAUUUUGAAACGUAACGUAAUAUCGGAAGUAUCGAUAUUUUGGGAUCGAUCCGCCCACCCCUAAUUUGAAGGCUGUCGGAGGAGCUGUAUGGCUGGAAAAAGAAGUGUUGAUAAAGGCGGAAUUCGGGCGAAUAACUACAAUUUCGCUGGAGCAGAGCUUCAUGUACAAACUCGACCACUACACACCAAAACGUAUUGCCCUGAUGAAGGCCAAGGGAGGAGUCCUCAGGACCAAGCUGAGGCCGUUCCUGGAAAAACUGAGUCAGAACCAAAGCAUUGACAUGAGGCGUGACUCUGUCAUCUGCAGCCUCAUACUAUACCUACCUUGGCGAAAAACAACAGGAUCUUUUUGAAGAUUGCCUGGAGGACAGCCGCAGUGAUGCAACUGAACACGUCUUGAAGAUCCUGGUUGUCCAUGGUGCCAAUGAAGAGGAUCCAGUUGAUGCAGCUCUCCUGCUUGAAGGCAGAGAGAUUAUGCCAGGAUGCGGCAGUACUGCCAAAGCAUGCACGCUCCUUAUGGGGCUGAUUUAUGCGUUAAACUUGGCAUACCCCCCAACACUGCGCUACACUUUUGAGGUGUUCCAGAAACUUUUUCUCGGACUGGAUGGGAUUAAGCUGACCCCAAAAGUGCAAGCUUUGAAUGUGAACCUGCUGUCUUAAAGACAUGGAAAAGCCGUCUAUUCAUAUCAAGUAUGUUCUUGCAUGAGGCCCUUUGUAUGUCGCUGCAAGUUUAAAUGUAUUUGACAAUUGACUUCAUUUCUGUCUGAUUUGAAACUUUGAGCUCGCAGACUUGGAGGAAGUUACACAUGUAAAGUAAUUGUCAAGCUUCUUCACAUGCAGACUUCUCCACAGCGUUUUCUCACCUGCCUCUGAGCUUUCAUGGUUCUGGCUCUUGGGCUUUGUGAAAGCUGCUGCUUAGAGAUCGUUUGCAUGCAGUUAUUAUAAUGUUAAUGU